UACGUAGGGGGCAAGCGUUGUCCGGAAUCAUUGGGCGUAAAGAGCGCGUAGGCGGCCCGGUAAGUCCGCUGUGAAAGUCAAGGGCUCAACCCUUGAAUGCCGGUGGAUACUGUCGGGCUAGAGUCCGGAAGAGGCGAGUGGAAUUCCUGGUGUAGCGGUGAAAUGCGCAGAUAUCAGGAGGAACACCAAUGGCGAAGGCAGCUCGCUGGGACGGUACUGACGCUGAGGAGCGAAAGCGUGGGGAGCGAACAGG
This 253-nucleotide ribosomal RNA is filed under the name uncultured bacterium. Its description in RNAcentral is "partial 16S ribosomal RNA". It matches the Rfam family "Bacterial small subunit ribosomal RNA", at positions 524 to 776 of the family's 1533-position model. The record is from RNAcentral.